Molecule: transfer RNA, 57 nt
Filed under: Marmota monax (woodchuck)
Lineage: Eukaryota; Metazoa; Chordata; Mammalia; Rodentia; Sciuridae
Also listed under: 1 other name
Rfam family: tRNA
About the family: Transfer RNA (tRNA) molecules are approximately 80 nucleotides in length.
Source: Rfam by way of RNAcentral
UGGCUCAGUGGUAGAGUGCUUGCCUAGCAUGCACGAGUUCCUGGGUUCAAUCCCCAG